UCGAUGGAUAUUACAGGAACUUGUCCCUUGGGCUUCAUGUGGAAGUGGAGCCAUCUGUCUUUUUUACACGGGUGAAUACCCUGCCUGCAACAAGUACCCGUCAGUGCCAUCUUCUACUUGAUGUGUUCAAUGCUACAGAACAUGAGCUCACAAUUAGCGCAAAGAAUAACGAAGAUCUAGUUCUGCAUGCUGCGGAAUGCCAGCGUAUGGCUAUUCAAGUUGACAAGUUCAAUUUUGAGAGCUACCCGGACUCGCCUGGUGAAAGAGCACAAUUUACAAAUCCAAGGCAGCUGGAAGAAGAGAGACAACAGGCAAAAGGUCUGGAGAUCAACA
Long non-coding RNA from Gekko japonicus, 333 nucleotides. RefSeq lists it as uncharacterized. NCBI's taxonomy places the organism in Eukaryota, Metazoa, Chordata, Lepidosauria, Squamata, Gekkonidae. The record is from RefSeq and is a predicted model, not a curated record. The transcript has 3 exons.